GUCAGUAACCCCAGCCCUAAAGGGACUGGGCUUGCAAGAGUAAUCAAGCAAGCCGUACUGACCAGACCACCCUGAGUUUACUCUCAUGGUAGCCGUUAUUUGAGUCACGACACCCCGGAAUGCGAAGCUAGUUCCCUGCUCUGUCGCUUGUGAUUAAACAGUUCUAAGGUCACUGGAACAGUGUUGCAAGCCUAACAAGCUCUUAUAACAGGUCGAAGCUAACAUUAC
Aphanizomenon flos-aquae is the source of this 228-nucleotide non-coding RNA. The record is from Rfam. Lineage: Bacteria; Bacillati; Cyanobacteriota; Cyanophyceae; Nostocales; Aphanizomenonaceae.